This 1461-nucleotide long non-coding RNA is filed under the name Theobroma cacao (cacao). RNAcentral describes it as "long non-coding RNA (TCAC_LNC001080)". The record is from RNAcentral. Lineage: Eukaryota; Viridiplantae; Streptophyta; Magnoliopsida; Malvales; Malvaceae.
AAAGAUUCUAUCCAACUUGUCUUAGAAUAUGUACCUUGAGAACAAACUUUUAGUAAAAUGAUUUUAUAUUGUGAAAAUGUGCUAUACAAUGGUUUAUGUGUUAUCACAAUAUGAUAAAAUGCAUGAUAUGCAUUGGAUGCUUCUUUGCAUGUUGAUGUGGACUCGGCUAUGUGCAAGUAGGAGUGCACAUAAGCCGUUGUUGACCCGACUAUGUGCGAGUGGGAGUGAACAUAAGCCAUUGCUGACUUGGCUAUGUGCGAGUAGGGAGUGCGCAUAACCCGAUUAUGACCCGAUUAUGUGCGAGUAGGGAGUGUGCAUAACCCGAUUAUGUGCGAGUAGGGAGUGCGCAGGAGUUGGGAAUGAUGAUGAUGGGAUGGUGUGCAUGAUGAUAAUGAUGGGAUAGUGUGCAUGAUGAUGAUGGGUAUAUGGUUGUGAAUGCAAAUAUGUGAGCAUUCGAUUUGUUGAAAUUUGGGAGUUUACAUGUGUUACAUGUUGCUAUUGUUAUUUUAGUUGGAUGGCUUGUUUUAAGGGCAAAAGAGACUUUUUCCUUGAUGUUUUGAUCCUCGCUGCAACGAGAUUCAUUCUCGCUACAGCGAGAAACUCUCGGGUUUGAGGGCCUUCACCAGACCUGGUUUUCGCUUCAACGAGAAUGAAGUUCGCUGCAGCGAGAAACUUUCUGUCCAUUUUGCUAACUUGUGGGUUUUUGCCAUAUUUCCCAUUUCUUUGGUACCAUAGUUGAGCAUGGAUCUUUGUAAAGUGAUUUACUCAUGUGGGGUUUACAUGAGGGGUUUAAAAGAGCCAAAACAAUUGCAUUAUUUUGAGAAAAUGAAUGCAUCAUGAUUUCGUUAAACAUUCCUUAUGAUAUGCUUGUUCCCUUUCUUGUUCACUCACUGAGUUUAUGCUCACUGCUUUCAAGUUCAUGUUUUCAGAUUACGAGGCAACUGGUAACUAGGUCGAGGUACUUUUGUAGACUCGACUAUUGGUAGGUGUCUCGGCAUUUAGUAGCUGUACAUUCGUUAAGUUUCUCCGCUGGACAUCAAGUCUUCUUUUGUUAUGUAUAGACGAACCUAAUGUGAAUUAUUAAGAUACAUGUUGUAGACAGUGUAUAUACACUUGUUUGGUAUGCUAGUAUGAGGGGCAAUGUUCAAUAUUAUUUCGAUUCUAAGUUAUGAUAUGUAACUUAGAAGUUUAUGAUGGAAUGAUGAAUAUGUUAGAUUAAUAGGCUUGCUUGGGCUUAGUGGACUACAUCCAUUGGGUCCAUGGGCCGGUCAUGGCCCGAAAUUUGGGUCGUGACAUUUACCAUGAUACUAAAUGUUAGCAACCAUGCCCAGAGUCACUCCGCUAACGGUCAAGGUCUAAUUAUAUGUAUAUGAAUGCUUGAUGUGAAAUGCUAAGACUCAUUUGUCAAGCUAUAUAUGUAUAUUAUGGUUGAUGAUGCCAUUUUGAAUACAUAAUUGGGUC